GGCAGAGGGGGCAAGCGUUGCUCGGAAUCACUGGGCGUAAAGGGCGCGUAGGCGGGCUGGCAAGUCGGUCGUGAAAUCCUUCGGCUCAACCGAAGAACGUCGGCCGAUACUGCCGUUCUUGAGGGAUGCAGAGGAGAUUGGAAUUCCCGGUGUAGCGGUGAAAUGUGUAGAGAUCGGGAGGAACACCGGUGGCGAAGGCGGGUCUCUGGGCAUCUCCUGACGCUGAGGCGCGAAAGCGUGGGGAGCAAACGGG
Molecule: ribosomal RNA, 253 nt
Filed under: uncultured bacterium
Lineage: Bacteria
Description: partial 16S ribosomal RNA
Rfam family: Bacterial small subunit ribosomal RNA
Source: RNAcentral